Molecule: ribosomal RNA, 506 nt
Filed under: uncultured bacterium
Lineage: Bacteria
Description: bacterial SSU rRNA
Rfam family: Bacterial small subunit ribosomal RNA
Source: RNAcentral
CUGGCUCAGGAUGAACGCUAGCGGCAGGCUUAACACAUGCAAGUCGAGGGGCAACGCGAGUAGCAAUACUUGCCGGCGACCGGCGCAAGGGUGCGUAACGCGUGAGCAACAUGCCCGUAUCAGGGGGAUAAUCCAUGGAAACGUGGUCUAAUACCCCAUAGUAAUUAUGUAAGGCAUCUUAUAUAAUUUAAAGCUUUGGUGGAUACGGAUUGGCUCGCGUGACAUUAGCUGGAUGGUAAGGUAACGGCUUACCAUGGCUACGAUGUCUAGGGGUUCUGAGAGGAAGGUCCCCCCACACUGGAACUGAGACACGGUCCAGACUCCUACGGGAGGCAGCAGUGAGGAAUAUUGGACAAUGGAUGGAAAUCUGAUCCAGCCAUGCCGCGUGCAAGGAAGACGGCCCUAUGGGUUGUAAACUGCUUUUGUAUGGGAGCAAUAAGGGCUACGUGUAGUCCGAUGAGAGUACCAUACGAAUAAGCACCGGCUAACUCCGUGCCAGCCGCCGC